UACGGGGGGGGCAAGCGUUGGUCGGAAUUACUGGGCGGAAAGGGCUCGCAGGCGGCCGACUAAGUCAGACGUGAAAUCCCUUGGCUUAACCAAGGAAUGGCGUCUGAUACUGGACGGCUUGAAUCCGGGAGAGGGAUGUGGAAUUCCAGGUGUAGCGGUGAAAUGCGUAGAUAUCUGGAGGAACACCGGUGGCGAAGGCGGGUCUCUGGGCCGAUACUGACGCUGAGGAGCGAAAGCGUGGGGAGCGAACAGG
RNAcentral lists this ribosomal RNA (253 nucleotides) under uncultured bacterium. Its description in RNAcentral is "partial 16S ribosomal RNA". It matches the Rfam family "Bacterial small subunit ribosomal RNA", at positions 524 to 776 of the family's 1533-position model. The record is from RNAcentral.